CGAGCGCACCCUUCGGGGCGAGCGGCGGACGGGUUAGUAACGCGUGGGAACGUACCCUUGUCUACGGAAUAGCCUUUGGAAACGAAGAGUAAUACCGUAUACGCCCUUCGGGGGAAAGAUUUAUCGGACAAGGAUCGGCCCGCGUUAGAUUAGAUAGUUGGUGGGGUAAUGGCCUACCAAGUCUACGAUCUAUAGCUGGUUUUAGAGGAUGAUCAGCAACACUGGGACUGAGACACGGCCCAG
Molecule: ribosomal RNA, 243 nt
Filed under: uncultured bacterium
Lineage: Bacteria
Description: partial 16S ribosomal RNA
Rfam family: Bacterial small subunit ribosomal RNA
Source: RNAcentral